AGAUUCCCCCAGUAGCGGCGAGCGAACGGGGAGCAGCCCAGAGCCUGAAUCAGUAUGUGUGUUAGUGGAAGCGUCUGGAAAGGCGCGCGAUACAGGGUGACAGCCCCGUACACAAAAAUGCACAUGCUGUGAGCUCGAUGAGUAGGGCGGGACACGUGGUAUCCUGUCUGAAUAUGGGGGGACCAUCCUCCAAGGCUAAAUACUCCUGACUGACCGAUAGUGAACCAGUACCGUGAGGGAAAGGCGAAAAGAACCCCGGCGAGGGGAGUGAAAAAGAACCUGAAACCGUGU
RNAcentral lists this ribosomal RNA (291 nucleotides) under Escherichia coli. RNAcentral's name for it is "partial 23S ribosomal RNA". It matches the Rfam family "Bacterial large subunit ribosomal RNA", at positions 232 to 561 of the family's 2925-position model. Lineage: Bacteria; Pseudomonadati; Pseudomonadota; Gammaproteobacteria; Enterobacterales; Enterobacteriaceae. The record is from RNAcentral.